AAAUUAUGAUGGGGGCACUUCCUCUGCAGCUCUUUAAAUUCCUCCCAUGCCUCAUAUAGAGUAUCUCCAUCCUUUUGACAGAAAUUUUGUAUUUCUCUUCUCAGCUU
RNAcentral lists this small nucleolar RNA (107 nucleotides) under Rosa chinensis. Its description in RNAcentral is "sRNA RchiOBHm_Chr2g0113701". It matches the Rfam family "Plant small nucleolar RNA R71". Rfam says of the family: R71 is a member of the C/D box family of snoRNAs containing the C (UGAUGA) and D (CUGA) box motifs. Multiple nearly identical copies of this snoRNA have been identified in Arabidopsis, and it is thought to function as a 2'-O-ribose methylation guide for 18S ribosomal RNA. Lineage: Eukaryota; Viridiplantae; Streptophyta; Magnoliopsida; Rosales; Rosaceae. The record is from Rfam by way of RNAcentral.